Molecule: long non-coding RNA, 215 nt
Filed under: Manihot esculenta (cassava)
Lineage: Eukaryota; Viridiplantae; Streptophyta; Magnoliopsida; Malpighiales; Euphorbiaceae
Description: long non-coding RNA (MESC_LNC012512)
Source: RNAcentral
AGCCAGAGGUGAGUAGAACUGAACUACGUAUUAAAAUAACAAAGUUUUGAGCAUGUUCAUGCAUCACGAAUACCAUGAUGUAUUUUAGGUUGUUGCAUUAGAAUCUCACGAAUAUGAUGCAUUGCAUUCUAUGUUGUUGAUGUGGAUGAAUGUUGGAUGAUCCAUUAGCCCUCAAUAUGUAUGAUGAUUAAUGAAAGUCCAAGGCUGCCUAUGUC